RNAcentral lists this non-coding RNA (30 nucleotides) under Rattus norvegicus (Norway rat). Lineage: Eukaryota; Metazoa; Chordata; Mammalia; Rodentia; Muridae. The record is from RNAcentral.
CAGUAACACUUUUAAAAGAUUCUAAUGGGA